UGGCUCAGACGGUAAAGCGUCUGCCUGCAAUGCGGGAGACCUGGGUUCGAUCCCCGG
Molecule: transfer RNA, 57 nt
Filed under: Capra hircus (goat)
Lineage: Eukaryota; Metazoa; Chordata; Mammalia; Artiodactyla; Bovidae
Also listed under: 1 other name
Rfam family: tRNA
About the family: Transfer RNA (tRNA) molecules are approximately 80 nucleotides in length.
Source: Rfam by way of RNAcentral